Molecule: non-coding RNA, 233 nt
Organism: Pelobates cultripes (western spadefoot toad)
Lineage: Eukaryota; Metazoa; Chordata; Amphibia; Anura; Pelobatidae
Source: the annotation of a GenBank genome assembly
UCCACUAUAAAUUUAAGCUGCGCUCCUACAGUCUGUCUCUUUCCUCUGCAAAAGUAAACUCCUUUCAUCACAAUCACACUCUCCCACAAGCCCAAACGACUGUUUAAUGCUUUUAACUCUAUUCUUAGCUCUCUUGCUCCUCCUACCAACUUGACAAACAUCGCAACUCACUUCACUGAGAAGAUUUCUACAAUUGGGGAAGAGAUCUCUCAUCUCUCUAUCCCCUAACCAAU